GUGUUGUAUGAAAGGAGAGAAAGUUAGCACUCCCCUGGCAAGGAUGGAAGCAGCCCUUGGGCCCAUAUAGCUGACGCUUUGCCACCUAUGUUGUGGCACCUAACCACAGUUUGGG
RNAcentral lists this non-coding RNA (115 nucleotides) under Procavia capensis (Cape rock hyrax). The record is from RNAcentral. Lineage: Eukaryota; Metazoa; Chordata; Mammalia; Hyracoidea; Procaviidae.